UGGCGGACGGGUGAGUAAUGUCUGGGAAACUGCCUGAUGGAGGGGGAUAACUACUGGAAACGGUAGCUAAUACCGCAUAACGUCGCAAGACCAAAGAGGGGGACCUUCGGGCCUCUUGCCAUCGGAUGUGCCCAGAUGGGAUUAGCUAGUAGGUGGGGUAACGGCUCACCUAGGCGACGAUCCUAGCUGGUCUGAGAGGAUGACCAGCCACACUGGAACUGAGACACGGUCCAG
RNAcentral lists this ribosomal RNA (234 nucleotides) under uncultured bacterium. RNAcentral's name for it is "partial 16S ribosomal RNA". It matches the Rfam family "Bacterial small subunit ribosomal RNA", at positions 96 to 334 of the family's 1533-position model. The record is from RNAcentral.